AUUGGCAGCUUUUAUAUCACGAUGAAUAAUCUUAGGAUGGCAAUCCUCAUGCAGGUAUGCUAAUCCUUUUGCAGAACCCAAAGCAAUUUUCAAUCUCAUAGGCCACUCCAUAGUCGGUCGUCCUUUCGCAUGUAAAUGGAACUCGAGUGUAUUAUUCGGAACAAAUUCAUACACAAGCAUCAUCCUUCCCCCCGCAAUGCAAUACCCAACCAAUGUAACCAAAUGCUUAUGAUGCACACGGCUGAUAAUCUCAACCUCCGCCUGGAACUCGCGCUCACCCUGUCCGCUCCCAGCCUUCA
This 299-nucleotide unclassified non-coding RNA is filed under the name Hevea brasiliensis (rubber tree). Lineage: Eukaryota; Viridiplantae; Streptophyta; Magnoliopsida; Malpighiales; Euphorbiaceae. The record is from RNAcentral.